AUUAAGUUUAUACUGAAAUAUUUUCUAUGUAUGUAAUAUGUCAACAAACACAUAUUUUAUUAAUUAAUGGUCAAAUACUAAAUUGAGAUUUUAUAAAAAAAUUUAAUAAGCUGUAAAGCUUGUCAAUUUGUUUACUACAACUACAAUUUUUCAGCCCUUUUCCAGAAUUUGAACUAAUUUGAUCAUAAAGAUUGAUCUAUUUAUAAUUUAUCGAUUACAAUUUUUAGACAAUUAAAGCUGGUUAAAGGAACUUUUAUUUUGGAAAAAGAACUGCUGCUGUUUCAAGACAUGCGCACUAGCUGCGACAUCUAGUGACGACAUUUACCGGGCUUUAACGGUUGUUGCUGCAUGAAGUCUGCUGCAAUUUCUCUGAGAUUUCUCAAGAUCAUCAGUUUGGACAGAAUUCAUUUGAAGAAUUAAUAGCACUAGCAGGUUCCAAUAAAGGCUGGAACAGAACAGACAGAAAAGAAUCUGUUCAGAAAAACUACUGUUCGUGCACCAGAUGGUGAAGUAGAAAAGUUCAUAAAAACUUCUGCAGCUUGCAUCUGACAGAGAUGCAAAAAGAAGAAGAGAGCGGGCCUGAAAACAAGCAAAUUCAAGGGUACACUUGAGGAGUGUCCAGAUGUUUAUUAAUGUUUUAU
Molecule: non-coding RNA, 641 nt
Organism: Paramisgurnus dabryanus
Lineage: Eukaryota; Metazoa; Chordata; Actinopteri; Cypriniformes; Cobitidae
Source: RefSeq, a predicted model, not a curated record